UACGGAGGGUGCGAGCGUUGUCCGGAAUCAUUGGGCGUAAAGGGCGCGUAGGUGGCCACUUCAAGCGUGCGGUGAAAGUCGGGGGCUCAACCCCUGAUCGGCCGUGCGAACUGGGGGGCUGGAGCACUGUAGAGGCAGGCGGAAUUCCGGGUGUGAGCGGUGGAAUGCGUGAGAGAUCCGGAAGAACGACCGGUGGCGAAGGCGGCCUGCUGGGCAGUUUUGCUGACACUGAGGCGCGACAGCGUGGGGAGCAAACAGGG
Molecule: ribosomal RNA, 260 nt
Filed under: uncultured bacterium
Lineage: Bacteria
Description: partial 16S ribosomal RNA
Rfam family: Bacterial small subunit ribosomal RNA
Source: RNAcentral